RNAcentral lists this ribosomal RNA (900 nucleotides) under uncultured archaeon. RNAcentral describes it as "bacterial SSU rRNA". It matches the Rfam family "Archaeal small subunit ribosomal RNA", at positions 455 to 1354 of the family's 1478-position model. The record is from RNAcentral.
GUGGCAGCCGCCGCGGUAAAACCAGCACCUCAAGUGGUCAGGAUGAUUAUUGGGCCUAAAGCAUCCGUAGCCGGCUUUGUUAGUUUUCGGUUAAAUCUAUAUGCUCAACAUAUAGGCUGUCGGGAAUACUGCAAAGCUAGGGAGUGGGAGAGGUAGACGGUACUCCGUAGGAAGGGGUAAAAUCCUUUGAUCUAUGGAUGACCACCUGUGGCGAAGGCGGUCUACCAGAACACGUCCGACGGUGAGGGAUGAAAGCUGGGGGAGCAAACCGGAUUAGAUACCCGGGUAGUCCCAGCUGUAAACUAUGCAAACUCAGUGAUGCAUUGGCUUGUGGCCAGUGCAGUGCCGCAGGGAAGCCGUUAAGUUUGCCGCCUGGGAAGUACGUACGCAAGUAUGAAACUUAAAGGAAUUGGCGGGGGAGCACCACAAGGGGUGAAGCCUGCGGCUCAAUUGGAGUCAACGCCAGAAAUCUUACCCGGAGAGACAGCAGGAUGAAGGUCAAGCUGAAGACUUUACCAGACAAGCUGAGAAGUGGUGCAUGGCCGUCGCCAGCUCGUGCCGUGAGGUGUCCUGUUAAGUCAGGUAACGAGCGAGAUCCUUGCCUCUAGUUGCCACCAUUACUCUCAGGAGUAGUGGGGCGAAUUAGCGGGACUGCCGUAGUUAAUACGGAGGAAGGAGAGGGCCACGGCAGGUCAGUAUGCCCUGAAACUCUGGGGCCACACGCGGGCUGCAAUGGUAGUGACAAUGUGUUCCGAAUCCGAGAGGAGGAGGUAAUCCAAAAACGCUACCACAGUUAUGACUGAGGGCUGCAACUCGCCCUCACGAAUAUGGAAUCCCUAGUAACUGCGUGUCAUUAUCGCGCGGUGAAUACGUCCCUGCUCCUUGCACACACCGCCCGUC